This 504-nucleotide ribosomal RNA is filed under the name uncultured bacterium. RNAcentral's name for it is "partial 16S ribosomal RNA". It matches the Rfam family "Bacterial small subunit ribosomal RNA", at positions 29 to 523 of the family's 1533-position model. The record is from RNAcentral.
AUUGAACGCUGGCGGCAUGCCUUACACAUGCAAGUCGAACGGCAGCAUGGAGAGCUUGCUCUCUGAUGGCGAGUGGCGAACGGGUGAGUAAAGCAUCGGAACGUACCGUGUAGUGGGGGAUAACGUAGCGAAAGUUACGCUAAUACCGCAUACGCACUGAGGUGGAAAGCAGGGGAUCGUAAGACCUUGCGCUAUACGAGCGGCCGAUGUCAGAUUAGGUAGUUGGUAGGGUAAAGGCCUACCAAGGCGACGAGCUGUAGCGGGUCUGAGAGGAGGAUCGGCCACACUGGGACGGAGACACGGACCAGACUCCUACGGGAGGCAGCAGUGGGAAUUUUUGGACAAGGGGGGCAACCCUGAUCCAGCAAUGCCGCUUGAGUGAAAAAGGCCUUCGGGUUGUAAAGCUCUUUCGGCCGGGAAGAAAUCGCACAGGCUAAUACCCUGUGUGGAUGACGGUACCGGCAUAAGAAGCACCGGCUAACUACGUGCCAGCAGCCGCCGUAA